Molecule: ribosomal RNA, 253 nt
Filed under: uncultured bacterium
Lineage: Bacteria
Description: partial 16S ribosomal RNA
Rfam family: Bacterial small subunit ribosomal RNA
Source: RNAcentral
UACGGAGGGUGCGAGCGUUGUUCGGAAUCACUGGGCGUAAAGCGCGUGUAGGCGGCCCAUUAAGUCUGAUGUGAAAGCCCGGGGCUCACCCCCGGAAGUGCAUUGGAAACUGAUGGACUCGAGUCCCGGAGAGGAGAGUGGAAUUCCUGGUGUAGCGGUGAAAUGCGUAGAUAUCAGGAGGAACACCGGUGGCGAAGGCGGCUCUCUGGACGGUGACUGACGCUGAGACGCGAAAGCGUGGGGAGCGAACAGG